GCUGAAGGCAGAUGCUUAACCAACUGAGCCACCCGGGUGUCCCUGGAGCCCCUUUUAAAUGGGAGUGAACUUCUUGGUGGGAAUGCAGCCCUGGGGCUGACUGGGGGGGCUCACCUCAUCUCUGAAGAGGGCUGCUUAUGACCACCCUUCUGUGAGCCUUGGUUCGGCUGGGCUCUCCCUGUUUCCCAUGGAGCCCCAGGCCCAUCCCCAAGCCCCCCGGGGCCCCAGUCUCCUGGCUGCCUUUGUCCUGGUGCACUAGUAGAGGACAGGAAGGCAGGAGAAGCUCUCCCAGGCUGGGUGGAGGGGCAGGGUGGAGCGCAGCUGACUGAGGGGGUGUGUGUCGGGGAGCCAACAGGAAGUAGGGCUGGGUUUUGUUCCCUGACCAGUUCCCCGGCAAGGCUCUCCCAGGGGGUUUCAGGGCUCAGUCUGAAGACGUAUUGUUCCCGUGGAUGGUGCAGUCCAGACAGUUAGCUGUGGCCACACCAGCCCUUGCUCUGCUUGGCAGACUGUGACACAGACAUCAGUCCAGACACCCUCCGAGAGAUAUGGGCCUUGCCCUUGGCAUCAGCCUAGACAACCUUGCUGGGGCAGGAAGGCUCUCCUGGACCCUAUGCCAAGGGCAGAUGUCUCCCUUUGCAGCUCUGUAGGUGGGCCCUUGAGGGGACAUGAUGGGGAUAAGCAAGGCUGGCCUCACCCACUGCUCACAGCAGCAGAGGUGAAGGGUGGCCCUGGGUCAGAGGGUUUCCUACCGAGUCAGUGUUCCCACCGGUAUGCACAUCCCUCCCACCACUACCCCAAGUCCAUGCCAAGCCCCCCGCCACCCCGUAGCUCUAUCUCAGGAAGAACUCUGCCAGUGGAAACGCCAGCCCCUUUUGUGCAGCUCCACGGGUUAUCAGGGUUGCUCAGAUUGAGGAAGUCCUCCCCCUGCUGCCCUAUGCCACUCUGCCCCACCCUGCCCUGCAGAGGGGAGGGGGGCCUGCCCGGGGAGAGUCUGGCUCCCACCGGGCAGUGUGGCUGACCCUCCUACCCCUGGCGCCAGGGCCCUGGGCUCUUCUUAGGAUAAGCUUUGAGAUCAGGGCAGGAUCCAUUUUUUGUCAUUCAGUGCCGCUCCCCCCUCCCUUCCCUAGUGUCUGUGUGAAAAUGAAAGCUAUUGUUUAUUUAAAAGGGCCAUUUGCCUAAUGCCCCUGGAAUUCAUUUGCUGGAGCAGUUUCCAUUUUCAUGCUCAGUUCAGACCUUGGCUGCAGCCAAGAGGUUAUGUAACCUGGGAUGGAAUGAAUCCCACUGGCAUCUGGGGACCCCCAGCGCACCCCACCCUUAGCCAUUCCUGUGAGUGUGAGCAUUCUGGGCUGCUCCCCCAAGUUGCCUGUGGGGGCUGCCAGAGUGGGGGCAGUUGACACAGGAACACUCGGCAGCUGUCGGAAUGGAGUCAGGGGGACAAUUUCUUUGGGGGGCUGAAUUCUUAGACCUCCUCUGGGUCUGCUGUCUCUUCCUCAGCCUACAGACCUCCUCAUAUACACAGUCCAGGCCCUUCCAUCCGCCUGCUCUGGACCUCAGCAAAAAGUCUGGGCAUCACUGCCUGAGCCUUGGCAGGAUGUGGGAGCUGUUUCUGGCACAGUCCUUCCUGGCUAGCCUGUGAAAUUUGUCUCACGCUUCUAUCGAUCCCCAGCAGAAUCGGCCGGAGGGCCUCACCCCGACUGACGGCUACUUCCACCCCUAGGUUCCAGCCCAUGGUCCCUUGGUUUCUACUCUGAAACCUGGUCUGGGUCUACAGGGAAUUACUUUGAUGGGGGACAGGGCGUUAUCCCGGGUGAUGAGGGGCUGGAGGUUUAACCGACUUCUAGAUUUUAAAAGGAGACAAAGAUGCAGAGUAGUCUUUAGAACUCUGAACUCCGUCCGCUUCAUCAUGAGGAGGCCCGGUUAGGGCCAGUGGGGUGGGGAAGGGAAGGGACACUGCCCUAGCCUUCCCUCCUGCACCCCAUCUUGGGAGAUGGUAAGAAACUCAUUCUUUCUUCCUCCUCCUUCCCUCCCCUGAUGUGGCCUGAGAUGACUCCCUUCACAUCAUUUCUCUGCUUAAAUAUGCUUGUCAACCCACGUUAGGAGCAAGGUAACCCACUGUGUGUCUGUGUGUGUGAACCAGUGUUAACUGCUGAUGCAAAUAAAGCCUUGACUUUCAGUGACUUAACCCGCUAGAAGCUGGCUCAUGUAUCCAUCAGAUGAGGCUCUUCCUUCCACAUGAGGCAGCUUCCUCCACACAGUGAUGCUGCGACCCGGGUUCCUUCUGCCGCUGGCUCUCAUCCCUCAGGGCCUCAAGGUCGUCUGCUUCCUUAGGGGCAGGAGGAGAAAGGGCCCGUGGAGAAGGCACAUCCACUUCUUAAACACUCCAGCCUGGAAAUGACCCACAUCUCUAUUAGCGAGACCCAGCCACGUGGCCAUGGCUGGCCAUGGGAACGUGGCCUGAAGACGGGAGCCAGCCCAGUGAUCACUCCAUGUGGCAUCAGUGGAAGGAAGUGGAAAGAGGGGGGUGUCUUGGAGAGGUGACAGUGUGGGGAUGUCCACAGGACUUUAGGAGUGAGUGUUGGGGGCAACAGAGAGGAGUCGGGAGUCUGAGGUCCCCCCAGGUUUCUGAUUUGGAGAACAGGUGGGACGGUGCUGCAUCCCAAGGAAAUGAAGUCUGCGGGAAGAGCGGCCAUUGUGGAGAGGGGAGAGGGAACAUGUUGGUCACAUGUCCAGCAUGGACUGGGUGCUAUAGGAAUAUUUUGUGGUUUAGGAAAGAGUAGGAAAAGUAGUGAAUGAACUUGAGGUCCUACCGCCCAGCCCAUGGAGAUCUGGUUGAGAAAAGGUGUUUGGUAGCUAUACUCACAGCCGGCAGCCACAGCACCUGAUGGGAUCAGACUGACCCAUGUGCAAACACAAAGCUAAUAAUAAGAAUAAUCGGGGGGAGAAAAGGCAUCAUCAGUGACCCAGAAGAGGAGGCCAACCCAGGCAUCGAGCCCUCUUAGGUGCUGGGUUCUCAUUUAUCUGAGCCUGAAGAGAGAGGUGAGGGUAAGCCAGACAGGGGUCCUGGUCCACCCAACUCAGGUGAGGAGGGCCUUCCGGCCUUGCGCCAGCACAGCUUCCUCUGCCCUCCGCGGCCUCGGGCUCAUUGCUCUAGGGCGCCACGAAGCACUGGCAGUAUACAGGUAUCUGACCAGAAGCAAGGAGGCUGCCCCUUCCCCACUCCUCAGAAAGAAAGGGGAAGACUGCUGCAGGCCAGGUCCUGGGCUGUGGCCACAGACCACUUUGCUACUGUGCUGACCCUAACUGCCACCUGAGCUCUGAGUUAGUGGUACAUCACCGCAGCCGGGAUUUCAAGAAGCUUUGCAAGUGAGUGUUGUGGGGAGGGCUUGGCCCCAUUCUUGUCUAAGGGUCAAACUGGUAGCCUUCUAUUAUGCCUUUACAUAAGAGGGGGUACUGCCUGACUGUUCAGGGGCUGGGGAGGGUGGGCCUCACGCCUCUACCUAGUGGUGGGGAGCCUGGGAUGAGGGAGGGAAGAGUGGACAGCUGAAUUCCUCGUUGACCUCUCCUCUUGCUCUCAGCAAAUCCAUGUGCCCCUUCUCCCUUUCUCUUGUGACAGCCUGCAGAGAAGAUUCCACAGUGAGGAGCACACAGAAUUUUGUAGAGUAGGGAAGUCCCAAUUAAGGAAAUUUUGUUUGUUUACUUUCUAAGUGAAGCCUGAGGUAUUUGUGAGGCUGCAUAGCAGAGGUUAAAGGCAUAGACUCAGGAGCUGGACAGCCCAGAUUUGAAUCUAAAUUCUACCGCUUACAACCUUGGACAAAUCACUUAGCUCCUCAGUGCCUCAGUUUCCCCACAUGUAGAAUGGUGAUAGCAGUACCCACCUCCUGUGAUUAUUAUGAGGACUAAAGAAUUCCUCCUUACAAAGUGCUCAGAACAGCGCAUAGCACAGAGCAAGUGCCAUGAAAUGGGUGUUAUAUUUUAAAAAUUGAAUUUAGUUAAGAGUUGGUACAAACCAGAGGGCAGGUGAUUCCUUAUUUUCCCCAGUCUUCUCUCUCAAGAAUCUCCCAGGCCUGUCCCCAAAAAUCUGCUUCCUUGUUUUGGGGUGUUUUGUUUUGUUUUGUUUUUUUAAUCCCUCAGCAGCAAUUGGGUAACGGAGACAAUCCCUUCUGGUACCAUUUCUAGACUCUGGAUAAGGUAGUCCUGCUGCUAGGGGAAAUGCAGAGGAAACAAAACUAGCCGGCAGGUGCCACACCAGACAGUUUGCAUAAAUUGUCUUUAAUCCUGAAACAAAACACAAACCCUUGAGGGUUGGGUUUGUUGUGUCCAUUUUACAGAUGAGCAAACUGAGCCAGAGAGUGCGGUUGGCCCAGAGUCCAGGACUCAGACCCCAUUUAUCAGAGGACCCUGAGCUUUCCACAGUGCUAUCUUUCUCCUGUCUCUGCAAAUGUUGCUGCUUCAGUCAUUUGAUGAAGUAUUAUCCUUAUACUUGCCCCCCAAAUGAUGGAUCACGGUGUUCACUGAGCAUCUGCUGAAUGUUGAGAACUGGAAGAAAAGGAAAGACAGUUACAGGUCAGGCAACGAUGGAGACCCAGAGGCGUGAGCAUGUUGCAGUAUGGCCCAGAACACUGUGGGACUCUGUGUGAGGUUCCAGAUUCUUUCCAGCCCGUGCUGCUGGGGCAAGCACUCUGGGGCCUGCAGGCCUGGGGAGGCUUCCCCCAACAGAGUAUGCAGUGCAGGCUGUGUCUAAGCUGGGUUUCAGAAAGGAAGGUGGAGGGGAGGCUCUUUGAGCACAUAGAGGAGAGAGAGAAAAAGGCGAGAGCAGGCUCCAUAGAGUCAGCGGGGAAAAGGAUGCUGGAACAGGUGAUCAGAUUGCAAAGUGAGGUUCAAGACUGGGUGAAUGUCUGUGUAAUAAACAGAAACUUCUAAGGAGAGCUUUCUACUAAAUGGAACCCUUUCCCAGAUUAUCUGUGUUCCACAGAGUAGCCUCUAGCUCUGACUAGCUUGGGCCAGGUCUGGACUAACUGGUAAAUCAAACAAAGCUAUCUUCUCCUAGAGUCACCUGUAAAGGCACCUGUAACAUCCCUGCCUUAUCUGACAUUCAGAAGAUUUUUGGCAUUAGGAAGAGCAGCAGUAGUGUUGUGGUUGGGAGAGGGCAGGGCUGGAAGAGGGAGGCCUGCAGGGGCCCAGACAUAUCUGGAAGGCUGGUAGGAGCGGGGACCUCAGAGUCCUGGGUUUGGGGAGGGGAGGGAGCAGCAGACUGCAGAGGGUCCCAGGCUGGACAAGGGAACAGGCCUGCCCCCCGGCCUCACCAGGAGCAGGGUCGGCCACACUUCUCGGUCCAGCCAUACUAUUAGCACCAUUGGGCCAGCCCCAGCCCCUUGGCAGCCCCAGGGCCAGGCUAGGGAAAAGAAGAAAACAGCGAGAAAGAGCCUCAGAAGCAAGAAAUGCCAAUGUCAGGGAAUUCUGGUGGCGUGUGCCCAGCUUGGAGUCUGAAAGCCGCACAGGAAGAACAACCCAAACAGAAUGCAAACAGACUCCGAGUUGAGAAACUCGUUCCCCUUACCCAGGGUGUACAGUUCAGAGAAUGGCAGAAAAGCACGAACAACUGCAAAACCAAUUCGGCUACUUCAUCUCUUUACCUUCGUGAUGGGAGGUGGCACCAGGAAUGCUGGUUAAGAGCAGAGUCGGACUCAGAGCCCCUUGGCCCUGCUUGGCUUUUCCCAGGCAUUGGAACAACUCACUAAGUCUGCUUCUGCACUCCGUUCUCCCUCCUGGCCCAGUGUCUGGGCUGUCAGCACGAUGGCCAACGGCCGUGUGUGCAUGAGGAAAGCUGCAGGGUGCUUUCCUGCGCCCCAGUUUUUAAGAGCAUUUACUUCAUCCCUGUUUGUGGCAGCAAAAGGCAAUAUGGCCCCCGACUUCUCGUCUCGUGGGUUUCAGCCUGCCUCUAUGCCCAGGCCUGAGAGCCAAUGAAAAGCUCCAACCACUUGUCCCAUGGUGUGGCAGGAAGGUUGAAUCGUGCUUCCGGGUCGCAGAUGGUUCUUCUCUUCUGUUCACUCAUUGAUGGGCUUGGUCAAUCAGCAAGUCUUCACUGAGCACCCUCCAUGAGUCAGCACUGGGCAAGGUGCUGUAGAUACCAUGAUCUAGAACAGCAGAUGUUGUCCCUGCCUCACUGGAGGUUCCACUGCGAAUAAAAUGACCCUGUGAAUGAAUGUCUCCCUCCAGCUGUGACACCUGCCACAAAGAAACACAUUGCUAUUGAAGAGUAGCCCAGUAUUUACAUGUGACAUUCUCUUGUGAGUUUCCUCCGAGCCCCACAAGGUUGCCUCUCUUUCCACAUCGUCAGUCCAGAUGCUCUACUACCUGUUAGGAAGUUGGAAAGAGAAAGGCUGACACUCAGUUUUGGACAAGCCCCCAACAGUGCCCGGAGUACAAAGGGAUAGUGGUUGGAGAGGCCCUGGAAGUUUGACUUUGGAGAGGGACAUUGUUGGAGAAGGCUAUUGGUGUGGUAUGGUGGUUUUCCCCUUUGAGCUUCUUGGAGGAGAGAAGAGGUUGUAUCCCUUCAAGCCAAGAGAAAGCAGACCACUCAGAGUGCUUGCCCAGGCAUCUUCCAGGGUCUCAGGGCACAAAGGUGAAUGUUGGACUUAGAGCUUAAAGAGGAGUCAGUAGUGCCUGGAGGUGGUCGUACCUUCCCAUGGAAGGAUGUGUGAGUGCAUCUCAAGGAGAGCUGGCCCACUGUAUCUUCCUGAACCAUCUAAAGGGGAUUAGAGACCAGUUGUCCUCUCGGGAGCUUCAUGGGAGGCCCCCGAUGCUGGAGAAACUCCAGGGAGCCUUUAAAUGUGCCUGAAAACUUAACCAGGAACACCAACCAAGCUGAGAAACGUGUGAGGGUCAGGUUUGAAUGUCAGCAGUGGCCAGAGAAAACCACGUCCAAUGAUGCACAUUCAGCCAAGCGUGGCUUUCCCUUCUCCCCUCUUGCCCUGCCCCCAAAGGUGUCCUAAGCGGUUGCUGGGAAAUAGGGUCUAAAAGUGAAAGUAACCAUCCUCUGCAUUUCCAUCCUCCUCUCUCACCUCCUAGCAGCCUUCAAUCCUGAAAUAGGACACAUCCAAGUUUAACUUUAGAUGAAAUUUAGAAUUUUAUACUAUCACACAGGACUAGUCACUUUAAUACUGAAUGAGGUUAUUCUGGUGCCUGCAAGACACUUUGUGAUCUGAGAGCAUUCCAAGGGAGAAUGGGAACUGCCCACAGUUUCAUUUAGGGCACCAGGGAGAGGGACCGACCUAGGUAUCUCAGGGUCUGGGAGGCAUAGGACAGUGCAAUCAGUGUCACAUUUCAAGCAGAUCAUGCUGGCUGCAGGUUAGGGAAGAGGAGUUAGGGAGUGAAUGUGAAUUCAGGGAGAACAGGGAGAAAGUUUGUAGUGGUCUGUGGUAGAGAUGAGGAGGAGGGAAAGCUGCAGAGAAGGCAACAUCCAGUGAUGUAGACGCCUAUAGUCUCCUUUUGUCUCUACUGUGGACUUGUUUCUAUCAUAUGAAGAACUCUGACUAGCUCCCCCUUUCCCACCCAGGACCUAUGAUAUGAACCUACCCACAACAGCUGCUCAAUAAAUGACUGAUAAAUGUUUCUGAAAUAGGGUGUAGGAAGAAAAGUGAGCAUUGGGGUUUGUUUCAAUUAUCUGUUAGAACAAUAAUGCAUGACGAACUCAAAACCUCAGCUGGCACAGAAUAAUAAGCAUGUUGUUCACAAAUCUGGGCUGAGUGGUGGCUCGGCUGGACAGCUCUGCUGGUUUUGGCAGAGCUUCUUUACAUCACUGGGGGUCAGCUGGCUGUUGGCUGUUUCAGGUGCCUGCGGCCGCUCAGCUCUGUUCCACAUGUAUCUCAUCCUCCAAAAGGCCAAUGCUAGCAUGUUCUCAUGGCAGUGGAAGGAUGCAGUCUUUCCACUGCAGGUCGACUCAUGCUUGAAUCCCAUUUGUAGCACACACGAGUCAUGUGACCUUCAGUUGGUUAUUUUACAUCUUGUGGCUUAAGGUCUUCAUCCAUAAAAUGGGGCUGAGAACAUCGAUCUCACCAGGCCAUGAAUUAAAUAACAGCAGUAAUAGCUCCUUCCCACUGGACCAUCCUGAGGGGCUAAAUGAUUCUGCCUAUGGCACCACUAUAGAAGAGAAAAAGGAGACUCUUAAAAGAUGGCAAAGAGUCAAAGGGAGGGGAGGGAACAUAAGACUGGAGAAGUAGCAUGUCCACAGGCGUGGGGGUAAGCUAGGACAGAGGCCCAGGGAAUGAAGAGGUGAGAGAGUGUGCAGGAAGAUUGGCUGAAGUCUCUGGCUCUAGGGGUGUGGUGUCAGGGAGUCUUAAUCUUACCUUGCUGGCCCUGGGAACCAUGGAAGAUUCUGACAUAAAUAUUGAUUUUUUUC
This is a long non-coding RNA of Mustela erminea (ermine), 8398 nucleotides long. RefSeq lists it as uncharacterized. The transcript has 3 exons. The record is from RefSeq and is a predicted model, not a curated record. Lineage: Eukaryota; Metazoa; Chordata; Mammalia; Carnivora; Mustelidae.